UGUCAUCGAUGCAUCCAGGGUAACGCCCAGU
RNAcentral lists this small RNA (31 nucleotides) under Bombyx mori (domestic silkworm). RNAcentral's name for it is "ovarian small RNA-8985". Lineage: Eukaryota; Metazoa; Arthropoda; Insecta; Lepidoptera; Bombycidae. The record is from RNAcentral.